GGGAAACUUCAUGAGGGGCCAGCCCCAGGCCCCGUUCCAAACUGGGGCA
Regulatory RNA element from Nomascus leucogenys (northern white-cheeked gibbon), 49 nucleotides. The record is from Rfam. NCBI's taxonomy places the organism in Eukaryota, Metazoa, Chordata, Mammalia, Primates, Hylobatidae.